UAAAAAUAAUAUAAUAAUAUAUGUCAAAUACUGAAAAUAGGAUACACGAUAUGGCAUGUAAAAUGUCUCGACUCUCAAACAUGUUCUAGUUAAUAUAUCAAUUUUUUCUCUCUUAAAUAUGGAUCUCUUGUACCGGUACAUUCAUUGUGUAUUUCUUUUGUUUGGAGUAACAAUGUCACUCUUAAGCUCGUUAAUUGAGUCAUCUAAGUGGUGUGAUUGAAGCUCUCUAUAUCAUACAUUUUUCGAAUCUUAUGGUUAUUGAUAGCAACGUUGCACCAUGCCAAAUACGAACGAGUUGAGAUCACAGCUUUUGACAACGAAUGCUACUCGUACACUCGCGGAACUGUUGGUUCCCUUUACAUUGGGGGAAUGUCAAGUAUCGCAUGGAUAUUUCAUUACAAGGAAAACCCACCCCACAUUAAUCACUAAUUCGUACUUAAUAUUGCUAAAAAAACAAUCUACAAAUUGAUUAUUAAACUUCAAAAAUUGAGUCAUACUCCCGGACUCUUAUAUUUAAAAUGUCUCACGUCGUAAUUUUCAAAAAUCCUGGAACUUAACCCAAAAUGUCCCGAAUUUCAGUCUGACAAAUCUGUAUAAUAAAAGUACAUCAAACUUCGACGAAGCGAUUGUGAAGCCCAAGACGAGCCCAAAAAUUAAAACCUUCAAACUAAAGAAUUGGGCAGGGGCCGCGCGAACGCAGGCCCCCUCUACCACAAAUUAUGACGUAGGCUCGACCACUUGGGCCGACCUUAGGCGGGCGCCCCUCCUAAGUGCAAUGGAGGUCGCCAACCUAGGCCAUGGGUCUUCUUGAUCGCCCAUUGACCCCG
RNAcentral lists this long non-coding RNA (827 nucleotides) under Olea europaea subsp. europaea. Lineage: Eukaryota; Viridiplantae; Streptophyta; Magnoliopsida; Lamiales; Oleaceae. The record is from RNAcentral.